UACGGAGGGAGCUAGCGUUAUUCGGAAUUACUGGGCGUAAAGCGCACGUAGGCGGCUUGAUAAGUAAGAGGUGAAAGCCUGGAGCUCAACUCCAGAACUGCCUUUUAGACUGUCUCGCUUGAAUCCAGGAGAGGUGAGUGGAAUUCCGAGUGUAGAGGUGAAAUUCGUAGAUAUUCGGAAGAACACCAGUGGCGAAGGCGGCUCACUGGACUGGUAUUGACGCUGAGGUGCGAAAGCGUGGGGAGCAAACAGG
This 253-nucleotide ribosomal RNA is filed under the name uncultured bacterium. RNAcentral's name for it is "partial 16S ribosomal RNA". It matches the Rfam family "Bacterial small subunit ribosomal RNA", at positions 524 to 776 of the family's 1533-position model. The record is from RNAcentral.